This 914-nucleotide long non-coding RNA is filed under the name Dermacentor andersoni. RNAcentral describes it as "uncharacterized LOC126529543". Lineage: Eukaryota; Metazoa; Arthropoda; Arachnida; Ixodida; Ixodidae. The record is from RNAcentral.
CUGGAGUUUUGCUAAUGACAACACCCAGGGGGGUGACACACCUGGCAUACCGAUGCAUGAGAAAGACUUCGUACAUCUCCCUGAUGGAUCGUUUCAUCUGCCAGAAGGCGUGAUCGUUUCUGCAACCCAAGAAGCAAAAAUUUUGAACAACAAAAAACCAACGCUCGUAUGGAAGGAUACAGCUCAAGCGAUAUGGGGUACAGAUGGCCUUGUCAACAGGAGCGAUAGUGGCAUUGCUUCACCCAAGCAAAGAGCAGCUUGGGAGCUGCCAAAGCAGCCACUUACCCCUAAAAAAGUGAACGUUGUGACAAGUAUAAUGGAAAUAUUUGCUUUUUAUAUAUAUAUUCCUGUAACCUUGAAAUGUCUGUAAUGGCAUAUCAUGUGUCUAGAUUUUGGCUUUCUCUACAAUAUUCUUAGUUUUCUUGCAUUUUGCUAACAUUAUUGAACCUUAUGCACCGCUGUGCCUUUUUUUGUUUUGCAACCACAGUCCGCUACUGGGGCCAGCUGAAAGGUGAAGACACCACUGCAACUGUGGCCUCAAUAACAAAACUACUGUCUGAAAAAAUUCAAGGUGGGAGAAAAUCGCACAAGAGACUGGCGCAAUCAAACGAAAAGCUUGAUCUGUAGGAUGUCAAUAAAUGAACUUUAUCAAUGAAGUGGCCUAACUGCCCUUGUUUAGCAGCAGUUCUGAAUGCAAGUGUGCCAAUGGGCACCUUGAAUGUAUGGGGCUGCUGCCAAUAAUAGUGCUCACUGGUUCCAGCUGGUCCCAGUGGGGGCUGGGACCACUACCAACUGGUCCCAGCUGAACUGAUUCCAGCUGGUCCUAGUGGGGGCUGGUACCAAUACCAACUGGUCCCAGCUGAACUGGUUCCAGCUGGGACCACAACCAACUGCGAAUUUCACCAUAAGCCAGU